UGGUAAGUAAGACCUGCCCGAAAAGAAUGAGGCCUAUGGAAGUAGGAUGGAAGCGAGUAGGGCAGGGUUUACCA
RNAcentral lists this non-coding RNA (74 nucleotides) under unclassified sequences. Its description in RNAcentral is "DUF3800-X RNA". It matches the Rfam family "DUF3800-X RNA". The record is from Rfam by way of RNAcentral.